This 318-nucleotide non-coding RNA is filed under the name Enterococcus faecium SD3B-2. The record is from RNAcentral. Lineage: Bacteria; Bacillati; Bacillota; Bacilli; Lactobacillales; Enterococcaceae.
GUAUCGUGGUAAUUUUAUUAUCCUACAAACGAAUUGAAUUGCUUGAAACCCCUAAAGCCGAUAAAACGACAACAUAAAGAUGAAAAAAACUUCAAUGUGAACGUGGCGAAAGCAAAAAAAAUUUAUCGGAUGGUCUAAGGUUAAAACCUAAAGACUAGAAUCAAUGGGCAACCAGCAGCCAAGCUCUUAAUAGGAGAAGGUUCAACGACUAUUCCUCUUGAAGGAAGUACAUGUAAGCACAUGGAAGCGGUUCGGUCUAAGCCUUAAACAAUGAAGGUAAGAAUAAGAUAUAAGUCUGUACUUGUAUGAAAGUACAAG